This 2453-nucleotide long non-coding RNA is filed under the name Triticum aestivum (bread wheat). RNAcentral's name for it is "long non-coding RNA (TAES_LNC003847)". Lineage: Eukaryota; Viridiplantae; Streptophyta; Magnoliopsida; Poales; Poaceae. The record is from RNAcentral.
GAGCUAUUUAUCGGAGGAGGAUGUACUCGCAUAACACAAUGACUGUCACGAUGCUUUCCUACCGGAGAAAGAUGCACACAUUUGAGUAUUUCUGUUAGCCAUCAUGGUAAACAAAUGUUUGUUGUUUCCUUUGUUUAUUUCCAUUGGCAAAACAUUGCUUAUCAAUGAUUGGAACUAUGCUUCCAGCAGUAUCACUUGCCAUGAUGAGCUACACCAUUGAUUCUCAUUUUGUGUACUUAUCAAGGCUGCUAUCUGAUUUUUUCACUUCCCUUUUGUAGUCUUUUGUAUGCCUUGCUUUUGGUACUAUACUCUCCAGCUGCCUUUUGUAGUGUGCUACUUGGUUUUCGGUCCCUUUCUUUGUAAAUGACUUGCCCUAAUUAUUACCAAUGAUAUUUAGACUUGUGGGAUGUGUUGCUUUGUAUAUGAACAACUUGCUGUAAUCCCGAUCCUGUAUCAUUCCUUUUUACUCAUAUAGGUUUUGUUUUCUACAACCUCUGUUUGCAUUACAACUUCGAAAUAUAUAGGAUGUGGUAUGAUUACAAUUACGAUUAGCACUGAUUGCGUGGGUAUGGCAAAGGCGACAACAAUUUUUAGUAUCACCCUUUUUUGAUUUUUAUGUCAUGUUGAUUACAUCCGGUCAUUGCAUUCACUGGGAGGAGACAUUGCGCUAUGCAUGACACCCAGUCUGGCCAGCCUUUGCAACUGUCAGCAACCUAUUUGUUCUUCUCCUUAGCCAGACCCGAUUCUUCGACUGGUUUAACUUGCAUAGUAGUUCUGUUUAGAUUACAGUUUUAGAUUCCUCCACUCUUUGCUAUGAUUAGGUUAAUUUCUAACAAAUGGGAUGAUGAUCAGGAUGAAUACUAUUUUGGUAUUGCUACCAUUAUGGUUCCACUCAUGAAUAAUUGAAAAUAACGGGAUGAUCCAUCGCAAGCAAUCAUUCUAAUUCCUAUUUGGCAACCUUGAAUACCCCGAUGUGUUUCGAUUUGGUAGGCUUGGUUCCCUCCCUGAUUGUGUGCAUCAUCAUGGUGUUUGCUUGUUGUUCUAAAGUUUCAACUGUAUGGCUACUAUUGGGUUGGCUUCUUAUAAGUUAUGGGAGAGAGUGAGAGUGUGGGCUUGGUCAGGGAGAUCUCUUUUAUUUAUUUGCUGGUACCUGAUAGUUUUUCAUGUUCCCUUGUGAGAUCUUAGUGAAAAUAAUGAUUUUAUUUGCUGUGCGGGCGGGCGGGUGCAGAGAAGAAGAACCUCAACUCGGAGCUCUUGUUUCUUCUUAGUAUAUAUGUACAAAUUAUAAAUAUAAUAAAUAUAUGUGUCCUUUUUUCCUCUUUCUCUCCUCUGGUUUUACCGCCAAACUGGGUGGCCUUGAUGAAUGAUGUUGGCUUAUUUUAGAGAAAAUCUUUCUAAAUAAAUACUUGAUAAAUGAUGUUGGUUUAUUUUAGAGAGAAUCUUUCUAAGUAAAUAUACACUGAAGAGAGGUUUCAAUUUCCUAAUAGUACAUGUUCAAAUUGUUGUUGUAUGUGACCUUAGAUAGAAGGAUGUGCACUUGUGAUUAUCCCUUUCCCUUUUUGUAUCAGAGCUUUGUGCCAAAAAACUGCUUUGGUGCCGAGACAAUUACCUUGCAACAUUAAUCUUGGCUGAAAUUGUGCACCUUUACUAGAUCAAUCAUGUUUGUCAGUGUUAAAUAAUUAGGCACAUAAUAAGAUGAGAUCAUAGUGUAAUCAAGUUUUGUGCCUAAAGAAAAUCUUGGAGGAUAUCUAUGUAUAGUAGGCUUAUUAUGUUUUCUGGGUGCCUUGUGGAAUACUAAGAUAAAAUAAAUUUAAUUUCAUUUUUAUAUUCUUUUAUGUUAAAGAGGCUACAUUGUAUCCAGAUCACUUAAUAUUAUCCAAAGUGAUUCUCUUUCAUACAGACCAAAUUAGUUCCUCGCUGUCCAUGAGACACACUAUUUGAAUAUUUUGCCUAACAUGACAUGUCCUUUAGCAGAUCCAUGCGUUGAAACAUGCAAGCAAAUCAAAUGAAGGAGUGUGGACAAAGUUAUAUAUCAAGCAAAUCGGAUGAAGGCGUGUGGACAAAGUUAUAUAUCUAACAGUCAACCAUGUAGUUUACUAUUAUGCAGUAUGAAAAAUAGUGUAAACAAGUUAUCUGAGACUAAUACUGCUACGGCCUGCUUUUGGUUUCUAUCAUACCAAACCUUGCUUAGGUAUUUCAUGUCACAUUUUAUAACAAAUGCGCUGAUGGCAUGUAGAUAGGGCCAUUUUUUAGAUAUUUUACAGGAUGAUUACUGUUGUGAGUAUCUACCAACACCUACUCUUUGAGUAAUAUCAGAUAUAUUUCUAUCCUGAGAUAUAGAGUAAUAUCAGAUGUUAAUCGGAAAAGAGUUAUAUCAGGGGUUUGAUCAUUGAACUUUUUUUAUUCCAUCCUGAUUAAGUUGUCCUGUACAUGUGUUAAACUUGCCUUUCUAC